UGGGAUAAUGUUAUUAUUGAAGACAAUUGCAAAUUAAGUCAUUCAUUAGUUUGUGAUGGUGUCCAUUUAAGGGCAGGAGUUGUUUUAGAGCCUGGUGUUGUAUUAUCUUUUAAGGUCGAAGUCGGGCAGCAAAUGGUUGUUACUGCUUAUUCAAAGGUUUCUUUACUCCCUCAACCUUCCAAACAGGACAGUGAUGAUGAACUCGA
This 206-nucleotide unclassified non-coding RNA is filed under the name Hevea brasiliensis (rubber tree). The record is from RNAcentral. Lineage: Eukaryota; Viridiplantae; Streptophyta; Magnoliopsida; Malpighiales; Euphorbiaceae.